ACUGCGGGCUUAGCAAGGCUGUAUCUAUCACGCGAUACGGUGAUAAUUAUGUUGAUAAAACGCCAGUCACCCUCGAAUUUAUCAUCCUUACUAUGGUUGCAGACGAUAUAUGGCGUUAUCUACAUUUGACAGCGGUAGAUGAUAGAAGACAAUUUGCAUAACAUGGUCGUUGGUUAACAUGUGGAUAAUUUGACAGCUUGUCCCAUUUUGACAGUUCAACUUAGAUAAUUUUAACUACGUUCUUCUUAGGUCACGAUAAGCCUUGUCGUGAAAGCAAAAGUAGUGAAUAAUCAUAUUUUAAGGUAUAAAAUACAGGUAAAUAUCAGUUUUUCUAUGAUUAUAUUGAGAGUUAUUAGUUCCAAUGUUCCGCUGUAUAUAAUAUUGUCAAUAUUUUCUUUGCAGGGAAGUCAAAUUUUAUUAUUCCUACUCGCGGCUGCCGUUGAAGAUAAAGAGCCUCGAAAAAUCUCGUAAAUAGCAUUAAGAAACGCUUACAACCCUUUUGAUAUGCCGGACAAAGAGUUUCGGCGUAUUUACAGAGUGCGUAAGGAGUGUGCAGUGCAUUUAGCUACGAACUUAACGCCGAGCCUCAAAACGGUGAUGGGUUACCUACCAAAACACCUCAAAAGGUUCUAACAGUAUACACCACACCAGCAGCACACCUACACCACCAGCAGCAGCAGUAGCUGCUGGUGUGUAGCAGUUACACCUGCUAGCUGAUGGCAACUACCAACGCGGGACUAGUCAAGAUCAUGGCUUGUCCAUUGGAGUACCACUGACUAGAUUGUCCACACUACGGUAAGCCUGAACCUAUCUCGAGCAGUUUGUAGAUGCUGUAAACAGAAGAAAACUUCUCGUGGAUCAAGGGAGAAAUUAGGAAUGGCGCUCCUAAGUGUUUCUAAGCAUCAUGCACAAAACCGGCGCUUAAUAAGCUUAAUAAAUACAUAUUUCGCCUAUUACUAUGUUUUACUAUCGCACAAAUACCUAAUUUAGGUACCUAUAUUAUUUCUAUACAAGUAGAGACUAGUAAACAUUCAAGACGGACAAUUUUCACAGAGAACAGCAUUCCCCGCAUGCUUCAGUGUAGGUGUCAUUUAUUCUUAUUUUUAAUUUUAGCCUUAUGCGUACAAAAUUUGUCACUUUUAUAGCUUCUAAAUGUAAAAUCCGACUGUCAUAUGCAGUAUAGUACAAUGAAAGCAUAGGUAAUAAAUA
Molecule: long non-coding RNA, 1209 nt
Organism: Cydia fagiglandana
Lineage: Eukaryota; Metazoa; Arthropoda; Insecta; Lepidoptera; Tortricidae
Exons: 3
Source: RefSeq, a predicted model, not a curated record